Molecule: ribosomal RNA, 255 nt
Filed under: uncultured bacterium
Lineage: Bacteria
Description: partial 16S ribosomal RNA
Rfam family: Bacterial small subunit ribosomal RNA
Source: RNAcentral
CGUAGGGUACAAGCGUUGUCCGGAAUUAUUGGGGCGUAAAGAGCUCGUAGGUGGUCUGUCACGUCUGCUGUGGAAACGCAAGGCUCAACCUUGCGCGUGCAGUGGGUACGGGCGGACUAGAGUGCAGUAGGGGAGUCUGGAAUUCCUGGUGUAGCGGUGAAAUGCGCAGAUAUCAGGAGGAACACCGGUGGCGAAGGCGGGACUCUGGGCUGUAACUGACGCUGAGGAGCGAAAGCAUGGGGAGCGAACAGGAUU